AGGUAUUAUGUACACUAUAUAAAACAAAAAAAUUAGAAAACUUUUAAAUGAGAUUAAAAGUAUGAAGAAAAAUUCUAGAUUUUCUUCCUGCACACUAAUACUAUAAGAUACAGAGUCUGCUUUGGA
Molecule: long non-coding RNA, 126 nt
Organism: Herpailurus yagouaroundi (jaguarundi)
Lineage: Eukaryota; Metazoa; Chordata; Mammalia; Carnivora; Felidae
Exons: 3
Source: RefSeq, a predicted model, not a curated record